GGGAGGGCGCUUACCACUUUGUGAUUCAUGACUGGGGUGAAGUCGUAACAAGGUAACCGUAGGGGAACCUGCGGUUGGAUCACCUCCUUACCUUAAAGAA
This 100-nucleotide ribosomal RNA is filed under the name Acinetobacter baumannii. Its description in RNAcentral is "partial 16S ribosomal RNA". It matches the Rfam family "Bacterial small subunit ribosomal RNA", at positions 1444 to 1533 of the family's 1533-position model. RNAcentral also lists the same sequence under 6 other names. The record is from RNAcentral. Lineage: Bacteria; Pseudomonadati; Pseudomonadota; Gammaproteobacteria; Moraxellales; Moraxellaceae.